RNAcentral lists this unclassified non-coding RNA (223 nucleotides) under uncultured Entoloma. Its description in RNAcentral is "sequence contains ITS2". Lineage: Eukaryota; Fungi; Basidiomycota; Agaricomycetes; Agaricales; Entolomataceae. The record is from RNAcentral.
AAUUCUCAACCUUUCGAGCUUUUUAUGAAAGCUAAGUUAGGCUUGGACUUUGGGAGUUUGCUGGCUCUUCUUCGAGUCUGCUCUUCUUAAAUAUAUUAGCAAGAUCAUCGCUAAAUCAUCUUUGAUAUGAUAAUUAUCUAUAUCAUUAAUGGUAACUGGCGUCUCCUUCACAGGAAAAGAUCAGGCUCAUAGCUGUCUCAGGACAAAUAUAUUUAUUUAAAUC